UUAUCAAAGCUAUUGCAUCAUUAUGAAUGUAAUUAGAAACUGACCAUGACAAAGCAUAUGCUAGAAUGAGCUGUCACUGAUGACAGAGGAUUUGUUGCUGAGGUCUUGAAACUCUGAAAACAAAAUUCCUCGUGCAAAAUGGAUUUUGCAGUUUCAUAUAUAUGCUCGUGUUACUCUUUCUUUCCUGCUUGCCUGCAAGCUCGGGGAAUUGCUUGCUUGAAAGAGAGUGUUCUGUUAGGAUGAGACUGAAGAAUAAAGUAUUUUCUAAGUCUCUGAAGCCUCAGGUAGAUAGAAACAAACAAACGUGAAACAAGACUGGGAAAAGCUCCCUCCGAUUCACUAGCAAGCUCUGAUUGAUAUAUUGGCAUAUUGAGGAAUUCCAAGGAAAUGAAGAUGCAUGUACUGAAUGCUCUGGUAUAAUGAAAGGAUAUUAUUGCAUGUCUCUGCUUUACAGUUAGUUUUUAUGACAGGUUUUAUUCCCCAUCAGUUUUUAGCUCUUGACAUUUAUCCGGUUGUUCAGAAUUAUAUAAAGAAAAUACAUCAAUAUCUCCUGCAGGGUUUCUCAACAACUCCAGCAUCUGUUUCAGCUAUUGAACUGUAUUCACGUUUUGCCAACUUGAUGCCUACCCAGCUGGUCUGUCAUUUCUCGCUUGAUUACUGUUCUUAAUUUCUCUGUAUCAACUUGUUUCAGGCAGGGUUCUGAAAGCUGUUAAUGAGAAAUGACAGUAACUGCUUAACUGUUGAGAACUUGAGUAUUCUCUUAUUUUUAAAACAUUAGAGAGCAUUUCUGUGUGCAUUUUAUUAAAUUCAUAUUCUGUGUUGCACUGUGAGGUUUUCAUAUAAUAACUGAAUUUAACUGUGAAUACUUUAGGUGGGUCACAAACAUAACUUUGAAUAUUUUGAGAGAGUUUGAGAAAAUUUACAGGUGUUUUCUUUGGUGUAGGUAUUGUAUUAUUACAUGAUCCUUCCUCUUGUCCACCUAUCCCUCACAACAUAUAUAUUCUCCCUGUCUGUCACGGUGAACAGUCAUUAAGUGUAUAUUGUACAUAUUGAAAUAUAUUUUAUCACCACUAGGGUGAACCGGCGGAGCAGCUCUGAACAGGUGAUAGGAACAGGUUUAAAACAGACAUCAGCUCUACCAGAGUGGAUCGCCCUCGAUCAGAGAAGUGAAAGUAGUGCUUUGUAAAUGUAAUGCAUUCUCUUUCUUCCUAUUCGAAGGUUCAACAACCACUCAAACACUGCCUAAUAGCUCACAGGCUAUGAUUAUGUUAAAUUACUUGGAUUACUUUACAAAAUGCUUUCUUCUAUGUAAACUCCAUUCUUCAUUAGAUUUUUCUUCAUUAGAAAUUUUUUUUUUCACAGGUGAUAAUCAAGAAAUUACUUGUCAAACUGGAUAUUCACUUUUCUGACUUUAUCUUAAAUUACUUUAUUGGCUGUACUCUGUGUUGUCUUGUCAACAGGGAUCAGGCUAUUAAAGACUAAAUGCUGCUGAGUAAAACUGUAACAGUUUUAGAAAGAUAGAUGUUUCUAGAUACAUAGCAGUGAACCAGCCUUUGGAAAGUUUGAAUGUAAGGAUCAGUAAAACUAAUAGCUAGUGUUAUUUAGCUUCUUGUGCAUUUCCCUGUUUUGAUCAUUUACAAGAGACAUUUUAAAUUAUUUUGUAACUGCUGGGAGGGGAGAUCUACUCAUUAACAGAGAGGAGCACUGUAGGGUAUGAAUAGCCAGAAAUAGUUCUGUAGUUUUGAUGGCAAUAAAAUAAAAUUUCAUUCUAUUUCAUAGAAGUUCAAUUAAAUUUAACAAUACUUUCUCAUUGUUGAUCACAGUGAAACCAUAGAGAGAGUAACCCCUAUAAACAGCUUAAGACUCAUUCUCCUUUUCAGGGUAGCAGUAAAACUGUUUUAUAUUGCAUAUAUUAUAUCUUUAUACUCCUGAAUCUGCUUAGUCUCUUCACGUCUCCAGAAUGCUGGCUGGCAAUCAUCAUGCAGUAGUUACUUAAAAUAUUCUUUUCCCUGUGAUGCCAGUAAUUGUAACUUCAUGCUGUCUGUGGCCAUCACCCAGCUGACAAGAGAUUUUUUAGUUUAUUUCUGUCUUCUCUCUAGUAUUUCGUUUUAGCUUUCUCUUUCACUGAUGAAUUAAUAGGACACUAGGUGGAGCCAGCUGUUGAUUAAAUAUAGAUCUACAGUAAUAUAGGCCUGUUUAAUGAGCAAGCCCCAGUAUAUAAUGCUUAUUAUUAAAAAUAACAAUUUAAAAUGUUAAGAAUUGAGUUGAAACUUAGCCAUGAAAGUGUAGAUCUGGUGAGAUUAGAGGAAACCAUUUUUAAUUUUCCUUGCCUUUUAUUAUCUUAGAAGCUUGUAAUCAAAUAUGAAAAAUAAUAAUAAGGAAAGAGCAUCUAGAUUCAAUAAAGAGGGCUAGGAAGAAAAUGAACAGAAAUAGAAAAAGAAGAGGGAAGCAGCAAUAAGAACCAGCAGAUGUUUCUACUACAGAUACAUGCAGAUAUCCAGUUGUGUAUCUGAACAUCCUUUGCCUGAUGCACAGAGAUUUUCUCUCAUCCUUACAUUUAAAUCUUCCUUCCGUUCUGUCUUCCUAAAGUAAUUUAUAGAGCUGGCAUCAUUCACUUUAUAUUUAGAUGUGGGAUGCAUGUUUUCAAAUCUCUUCUUGGGAGGGUGUUCUAGAAGGUGUGCAAGGGCACAGAGAGUUGUCACUCAUAUAUUGGCCAGACAUAAUUAAGAAAACUCUGGAAGGUUAUUUAGUAAUUGAGGUGGAAUCUGGUUGUAUGUGCUCCUUCACAUAAUUCUGGUUAUUAAUCCUAGGCAAUGAUAAGGGAUCUGUAGUCCUCGGCAGUGUGACAACACAAGAAAAAUACACUCCCACAGAUAUUUACAGAUAUGUACUUCAGGUGUGAUACACACAUUAACUCAGCAAAGAAGAUAUAAAAACCAGGGUGUAUGUUGAUACUUGGUUACAUGAACUGAAGAUGAAAAAACAGGAAAUAAGUGUGAGAUGACAGGCAAACCCAGAGAUUAAGGAUGUGGGCUAGAGCAGUCUGGCAGAACAAUGACAAUUCCCAUCAGCCUCUGCUAAGUGAAGCACUUGAAAGUUUAGUCAAUGCCUUUUUCUUAUGGGAUUAAAAGGGAAUUAGGAUGUGGAGAGGCUCAAGUUAGUGAGGAAGACUUGUGGAGGAGGGAAAUGACAGCUGCCUAACACUCCAGGAGUAAUGAAGAUUAGAAGACUGGAGAUUGACCUUUGCUGAUGUUAUUCAUAGAAACUUAGAAUUUUGGUGACAUGAGGGUUAAAAUUCACCUGUUAAUAGAAAAUAAAACUAUGCAUGGACAUAGUGCUUUUUGGGGGAGCCUCGCAAGAAGCAGUGCUGCAUUGUCAACCUUAAGAGAUCUUUUUGUUUAUGAGCUGUGCAGUUUGUGGUCAACAGCAAAGCAUGGGAGGAGAUCAGUUAUGGUGGAGACAAAUUUUAUUAGUUUUCCAAAUAAUUUAAUAUUUUAUUGAAGCUAGGCUAUGAUUUUAUUUUUAAAAAUUUAUUUUAGUGGAUAGUCUUAGCCAGAAACACGGCCUUGGAAAUAUGUUAUGGUGUCAGUACAUCCAUAUCUGCUUCUGUACAUUUUCUGUUCACCAGCACCCCAGGACUAGCUUUGAAUGAACUCAUCCUGACAUGUUCUGAAUUUUCUUUCUGACAAAAGGAAGAUAUAGUGUGGCAGCUCUUGACUUUCUGCUGCUGGUCAUCUGCUGCUUCACUCAGUUUGUGGUUCCUUCUGAAGAUGGUUGAAAUUUUAGUUAAAAAAUACCCACAGUGUGGGGAAGUGUCUGACCAUCUUGGGCAAGGGCUAUGAGAAGCUGAGCCAGAAGAAAAAAGAUGUGCUCCUUCUCUGUAUCAGUGAAAUCUGUCCCUUUAAAAGUCCACUAGAAUGAGGAGAAGGGCGGGAGGAGAGGAACUAGCACAACAGGUGAGGAAUGAAAGGAUUUUGAGUUUUCCAUGAGGCAGUCAUUUGAUGAAUGAAUGGCACAUAUGGAAGUCAAAUUGUCCAAGGGAUGUUAGUGAGCAUCUGGUUAUAUACUGCCAGAGAGCAUUAUACAAAGCCAUAUUGUAUCUUAUCAAAAUGUAUUAAUAAAUUUAGUCUAUUAGCAAAGAGGGAAAUAUUUUUGUCCUUCAAAACUCAGGGUUCACAUUUUUUAGGUUUUUAAUUUAGUUAUUCAUACUGUGUAACAGAAUUAGGAUUACUAACAAUUUGGAGAGGGACAUAUUUGAUAAUCAAUGCUAAAGGGUAUCCUUUCUCUCUACCCCUUAUAAAGAUUUGGGGGUUUUUGUGUUGGUUUGUUGGUUUGUUUUGUUGGGGUUCUUUUCACAGAAUAUGAAACCACAUAUCCCUGAAACCACAUGAGAAAAAAAAAUAUAUAUAACUUCUUCCUCUACUCUGCCCUUAUGAGAUCCCACCUGGAGUACUGGGUCCAUGUGUGAGUCUCCUAAAACAAAAAAGACAUGAAGCUGCUGGAGUGGGUCCAGAGGAGGGCCAUGAAGAUGAUCAGAGGGUUGGAGCACCUUUCCUCCAAGGACAAGCUGAGAAGGUUGGGUUCUUCAGCCUGGAGAAGAGAAAGCUCUUGGGAGGCCAUAGAGAAGCCUUCCAGUACCUAAAGGGCACUUACAAGAAAGCUGAGGAGGGACAUUUUACAAGGCUAUGGAAGUGAUAGGAAAAGAAGGAAUUAUUUUAAACCGAAGGAGGAAACGUGUUGAUGAAAGAGCAAGUGAGAGGGACAAAAGAUGGGAACAAGUUUUCCAGAAAGGUGGUGCUUGCCCCAUCCCUGGAAGCAUUCAAGUUGGAUGGGGCUCUGAGCAACUCAAUCUAGUUGAGGUUAGAAUAGAUGACCUUUGAAAGGUCCCUUAUAAUUCAAAAUAUUCUAUGAUUUCUUAAACUACAAGGAUACCAGUGGUGUUGGAUCUUUCCUGCUCUAUGCCACUAGCUCCAAAAUGUCCAUGAGAUUCACUGCAGAACUGAGGAUAUGAACACAGUAGUUGUUUCUUACAGAAAUGUCCUGGACAUGAUAGACACAGUGAUGCAGUCAUGAAACAGGCAGAGCUGAAAUGGAGAUGUGAAAGAAGAUAAAUCAGGGCUUUACCAGAAUUGGAAAAAGGGAAGUAAUAAUAGUUUUAGUUGCAUCUUUUUAAAUUUUUCUUUCUGGUCUAAGCAUCUGUGCAUCAGAAUCAGGAUGCAAGAUGCACCUCUUUAUAAAAAUCAGGAAUUUCUGGCUGCACUGCAGUUUAUUUGGCUUUUGUUAUCUUUAGAAUAGAUAUUAAGUCUUAAAGAAGGAAAACCUGGAAAGUAAAUCAAGAUCAGUCAAACAGUUUUUCUUGUUAGUAUCCUCAGGUUACCCAGCUUAGUCUUUUACAUUAUGAUGCUGUUCUUUACAAGGUCUUUCUCUCAUUUAUGUUUCCCUGAAGAUCCUGCACAAAGUUCUCUGACUUACUUGAUGAUACAGAGGCUCAAGAUACUGAAAUGGUAAAGGACAUACAGUUGGUUUUGACCAAUGCUGACAAGACUCUUCUUUUUUUCUUUCUUUUGUUUUCCUUCCCCUCUAUUCCCUCCUGCCCAAAAUUUGCCACAAAUGGGGAAAGCCGAAGAUCAGAAAAAGUUAACGCAAAACUUGAACAAAAAUGGAGCUACUUGAAACUUGUGUUUUCUUAUCUAGUCUCACCUUCACCUCUUUUUGUGUCCUGAUAAUUGGGAUAAAGAGUAUAAGUAAUUUCUUCAUGAAAUCAAAUUUUUUUAGCAUUCAGUUUUGAUCACUUAUAUUGAUCUGUUUCCCUGAAACUUAAAAGCCACACUAAAUAAAACCACCACAUGCUGCUUUCUGUAGACUUUCCUUUUAUGACUAACUUGUUAUUUGUAUACAGCCAUUAUGCAGGUCACACUUACUUUUGCAAAAAAAAUAAAGCACAGAUACUGGGAAAAAGUUCAUAAUUUUAUCUUUUUUUGUAACAAAAAUAAUUUAAAUAUUCUCACACUCUGCUCAUAUUUAACACAUCUUUAUUUCUUAUUACUACAAAAUAUAAUUUAUAAUGGGAAUUCCUCUGUAAUUUGAUUUUAAUGGUCCCAAAUGGUAUUAAAUAACUAUCCCUUGGUACAGAGACCACUUUUUCAAAGAGAAAGCUGAAAUUUUAUCAAUUUGUUUAAAUCAAGGGUUUUCACAAAAAAAACCCAACCCAACCAACCAACCACCAAAAAAAAAAAAAAAAAACCACACAAAAAAACACUCCAAAGUAUUUCACUUUCCAGUCCCAGCUUGGUUUCUAUUCACUGUUGGUAAGGACUAUAAAAAGUUAAAUACUCAACCUGUGGUCUUCAGUAAUGAUUGCAGGCCCUGAAUUGUGACUGAAUCAAGUUUGAUAACAAGGCAGAAAAGCAAAGGUAUUAAACAACUUCAGGUACAUGUAAAAUGUUAUAUUUAUAUGCUUAUGAGUCCUAAUGGAAAGAAUUUUUUAAAUAUUGAAAUAUUCAGUGACUGAAGGUUGAAGUUAAGGGUAUUAAGAACUUUAAGAUGUUUAUGCUUGAGUGUCUUUGAUAACUCUCAAGCUAAUAGUAAAGUUACUGAAUUCUCAUUUCUUAGUGGCCUUAUUUUGAACUACUGAAAGGCACAAGGGAUUUUUAUCUUAUGAAUGAAUUUGGUACUUAGCAAAACAUUUCAAAAACAGUGAAAUAAAUUGCCUGUCCAGUGUGAUUAAAUCUGUGUUUCUUCAGAUAUUUCUGCAGAAGCCAAGAAAAAAAAGCAUGUCACAGAUGUUGAUAAAUCCCUAAUUGUAUUUAUUCCCAGGCUGUGUUAUUUUCCAAAACUUCAGAAAUAAUGAGGAUUAGGUAAGUGAUCAGUUAUGAUGUUACCUGAACCAAGAAUAAACAAAUCAUAAGGCAGUUAUGAUUAUGAGGAGAUUCUCAGGCUACUAAUAUAAGGAUGUAAUGAAGAAGCAAAAACUAAAAUUCUUGGCAUACUCUGGCACUGUAUGCCAGCACAAGUGCCAUGAGAAUGUGAAAAAUCAAAUAUGGUUUGCUUUCUUCAGAGAGCCUAUUCUUAACUUCCUGUUGAGUUUCUUCAGCAAGGUAAAAAUACUUGAAAUAAUAAUGCUUGAUUGUCUGUCAAAAUACCUAAUCCUACACUUUUCUUACAGGCACUGUUUGUUGAACUGUGUAGGCCUAAACGUAUCUUUGAAUCAUCAGCCUUAGACAAAGUGUUAGUGCAGAUGAUAAGGGCCCCAUAACAGUAGGGGAGUAGUAUACUGCUGAAGAGAACCAAUUAGGGUUAUUCCUCUGGCAACAAGCAAAUGAAUUUUUCCUUAAUGAGUCCUUAGUGAAAGUGGUAUUUACUGUGAUACUCUGUGUGACCUGGCUGACCCAUCAAGUAAGAGGCAGCCCGAGCAGUUCUGUUGUUGUAGCACACAAUUAUGUAUAUCUGCCUAAGCCGAGAGAGCAGAACGUGUUAAUUUGUUAUUAUCUAAUGUGGAUGCUUUAUUAUCUAUUUUGUGACAUCAGUGUAUGUGGCAUGUGAGAAAUCAUAGAGAAAAGUGACUUUGCUCUAGGGAACAAUAUGUAAUUAAUGUGAAGGGUCUGCAUUGCAUCCUGAAAACCAGGCACAGAAUGAUGACUGCAAACCUUGACCAGCUGUGAAGUUGUAAAUACCCUAAGCAGAAAAGAGAUUGCAUUUUAUGGCGUUCUUGGUACUCAGAGCUUGAGGAUUUUACACUGAAUGAAAAUUGUCUUGUGCAGAGAGAAGCCACCCAUUGAUGAUUCUGAGAUGCCAUGGAAACAGAGAUACCCUUAUUAGGCGUUGCAGUUUGUGUGUGAGCCAGAGAUAGGUAUGUCAUUGGGAAUCCUCCACUGCCUGUACUGCAACAGAAACACUGAAACUGAGAGAGAGGGAGAUGAAGCAUCUGCAAUGAAAGAGAGAAAAAAUGAGCUGGUCACUUAGAUGAGGGAAAUGCAGUGGUGUAAUUCAGAGGACUAACUUAUUCUGCUGCUGCUUCAUGCAACUUGUUGGUAUCUUCCAGGCCAGGAGAUAUGUUUUUACCUGAGUGAACAACCAUCUCAGAACAGCAUUAUUAUGAUUCAGGAGAGAAAACACAAGGCACUUGGUUUGUCUUGCAGCACAGUUUGCUGGUUUAACACCUUACCCCAGAAGUUGUAGAAAUAUGAGAAAGCACAAACUACUGAGAGAUGUAUGAGUGCUGAAAUCAUCAGUUUUAUUUUGUUCUCUGGGAUUUACUAGGUCCCAGCUCUCUCCAUUUAGUUUAAAGGGAAAAUAAAUUCAUAUUGAUAGUGCUGGACAAAGCUGCACUGACAAGACUGGAAAAGCCAUUUUUUGUGCCCCCAGAGUCAGUAUAGCACUGGGAAGUGUUGGCCUCACCAAUAUCAGCACGGCGCUGGAUGGAGGAGAGGGAGAACAGUGCACAGAGGUUUUGGCAGCGGUGAUCCCUCUCUCCGAGGUGAAUGCAUUUGGCAAGGUUGAUGGUCCCAGGGGAAGGGGCUGCAGGGGUGGCCUCUGGCAGAAAAGGCCAGGAGCUGUCCCCUGUCUGACACUGGUGCUUCCAGCCAGCUCCACUGGAUCCACCCCAGGGCACAGCGGAGCCCAUGGCCAAGCUCGUGGUGCCUCAUGAAAAGCCUGUUUGAGGAAGGGCAAAGCACUGCCCUACACCAAUUGAGGGGAAAACAGAGUGGAACAGCAGGAGGAAAACCAGAGUCAGAGGAGAAUAGGAGGAUGUGCUCCUGGUGCUAGAAAAGAUUCCCCUGCAGCUCUUGGAGAAGACUGUGCUGGAGCAAAUAUCCACAAGGCAGUCCCUGGAGGACACCAGGUCAGAGCAUGGUCAGAGUACAUUCCUUCCUAAAGGAAGCUGCAGCCUAUGAAGGGCCCAUAGAGGAGUGGGUGGCUCUUGAAGGGCUGCAUCCUGUGGGAGGAUCCAGGAUGGCUCAGGGGAAAAGUGUGAAGAGGGUGCAGCAGAAGAGAGCAGCUGUUACAGACUGAGCACAAUGCCCAUUGCCCACCACCCAGUGUCCUGCACUGUCAGAGUGGUGGGGAAGGGGUUGAGAGGUAAGAGCCUCGGAAAAGAAGAGACAUGGGGGACAGGUAUUAUUUAAAUCAUUUUGUCUUUGCUUUUUCUAUCUCAUUCUAAAUUAAUUGGCAAUAAUUUACAUUAUUUUCCCCCAAGAUGAGUCUGUUUUACCCAUGACACAACUGGUAAGUUACUCUCUGUUGACACAGGAUUUUGCAUUCUGUUUUCUACCCCUGUCCUGUUGAGCCUAGGUGGGUGUCUGGCUGCUGACUGAGGUCAACCCACCACAGUAACGUGAACAGAAUUAUUCCACCUGAGCUUUCCAAAUUGACAGGACAUAAUGACUCAAGUUUGGUAAUUUUUAGAGAUAAUUGGUGGGAAUGUGUGGGUGUGGACCACAGCUGAUACUUGGAAAAAAAAAAAAAAAAGUUUGUAAAGUUAAAUCGCACUCCAAUUGAAGCACAGUCACUCCAGAGGUGUUUAUCCAGAACUUGCCCUGAAAAGAUGAUGAAAAUACAUUGUGCAAAGGGCAUCAUUACUAUUUUAAAGCUGCUGUAGGUUGUGUACACCUGAGCUAAGAUUAGGGGCAUGAGGAAUUUGUUUGAGCAACAUCAAGAGUGCCUUGCAUUGCUAAUGUUUUUGUCUGCUAGAGAGGGAUUUAAUGUAUCAAAAUUUUUUUUUGGCUGUACUAAUAACAUAUUAUCAAAUCUUGCGUUUAACCAAUUCUAAGGAUGUUUCCUCACUUUUAAGUACUUAAAACUGAGAUAUGAUGCUGUGGCUGUGACAGGCUAUUAAU
Molecule: long non-coding RNA, 9836 nt
Organism: Taeniopygia guttata (zebra finch)
Lineage: Eukaryota; Metazoa; Chordata; Aves; Passeriformes; Estrildidae
Source: RefSeq, a predicted model, not a curated record